This 1867-nucleotide long non-coding RNA is filed under the name Salmo salar (Atlantic salmon). RNAcentral's name for it is "lncRNA (ENSSSAG00000112395.1)". The record is from RNAcentral. Lineage: Eukaryota; Metazoa; Chordata; Actinopteri; Salmoniformes; Salmonidae.
CGGGGACGAUCAUCGCCGUGGCAACGCACGCCAUCCUGUCCGCGGACGCUCCCAGGAUCCUCCAGGAGUCAGUCAUUAGUCAGAGAGGAGAGGAGGAUGUGAAGUUAAAGAACAUGGGUUCUUGGCCCAGCGUUCUCAGUCCACCCCCGCCUCCGCUGUCCGCUCCUCUAGCGACAGCUUCGAACAGGUCCGUCGCGUCGCCCGAGAGAAGGAGAGAGAGAAACAGCUAAAAGCACAGGCCAGGAGAGAGCAGGAGAAACUACGUAGCCGUGACUACGAGGACUCUGUGGAGCAGCAGGGGAGGGGGCGUGUCCAGGAGGACACUCGCCGUCGCCAGGAGCAACUUUCGCCUCAACCCCUCCCGCCGACUCCCCACAGGCCCCUCCCACUCAACAGGCCACACCCUCGGCCGCAGCAGAACGCCAUGGACCAGCAGAGGGAGCUGGCGAGACGCCGCGAGCAGGAAAGGAGGAGGAGAGAGGUGGUAAUACUUUAUAGCAGUAAUACUACUAUAAUACUAACAUGUUAUACUAGUAUAGCAGGAGAGAGGUGGUAAUACUUUAUAGCAGUAAUACUACUAUAAUACUAACAUGUUAUACUAGUAUAGCAGGAGAGAGGCGGUAAUACUUUAUAGCAGUAAUACUACUAUAAUACUAACAUGUUAUACUAGUAUAGCAGGAGAGAGGCGGUAAUACUUUAUAGCAGUAAUACUACUAUAAUACUAACAUGUUAUACUAGUAUAGCAGGAGAGAGGUGGUAAUACUUUAUAGCAGUAAUACUACUAUAAUACUAACAUGUUAUACUAGUAUAGUAGGAGAGAGGUGGUAAUACUUUAUAGCAGUAAUACUACUAUAAUACUAACAUGUUAUACUAGUAUAGUAGGAGAGAGGCGGUAAUACUACUAUAAUACUAACAUGUUAUACUAGUAUAGCAGGAGCGAGGCGGUAAUACUUUAUAGCAGUAAUACUACUAUAAUACUAACAUAAAAUACUAGUUUAGCAGGAGAGAGGCGGUAAUACUUUAUAGCAGUAAUACUACUAUAAUACUAACAUGUUAUACUAGUAUAGUAGGAGAGAGGCGGUAAUACUUUAUAGCAGUGAUACUACUAUAAUACUAACAUGUUAUACUAGUAUAGCAGGAGAGAGGCGGUAAUACUGUAUAGCAGUAAUACUACUAUAAUACUAACAUAAUAUACUUUUCUAGCAGAAGAGAGGUGGUAAUACUUUAUAGCAGUUAUACUACUAUAAUACUAACAUAAUAUACUUUUCUAGCAGAAGAGAGGUGGUAAUACUUUAUAGCAGUUAUACUACUAUAAUACUAACAUGUUAUACUAGUAUAGCAGGAGAGAUGAGGAGAGAAUCAUCAUAAAGAUACGUAUUAAUAUAUGUAUAUUCUUGUUAUAUUAUGUAUAUUCAGUUAUAUUACAAUAAUACAGAGGAGAGGUAGUUUAGCUGAGAAGAGAUGGGAAAGAUUAACACUGCAUCUAAUUCCUCUCUCUCUCUCGCUCUGUCUCUCAUCCCCCUCUCUCUACAGAUGGCGGACACCAUUGACAUCAACUUCCAGAGCGACUUGAUGGCCAUCUUUGAAGAGAACCUUUUCUGAGAGAGAGAUUGAGAAAGGAGGAGAGGGAGAGAAAGAGAUAUGAACUCUACCUUAUCCCACCAUGGCUGGGAUUUCACACACAACACCCUCCCUCCCUCUGAUUAGAGACCCCAGACCAGGAUGUGAGCUCCAGAGACUUGAAGGAGACUGAGGUGAGGUACAGUAAUAAGGAGAUGCCCUCCCUCCCUCUGAUUAGAGACCCCAGACCAGGAUGUGAGCUCCAGAGACUUGAAGGAGACUGAGGUGAGGUACAGUAAUAAGGAGA